GAUGAACGCUGGCGGCGUGCUUAACACAUGCAAGUCGAACGAAGCAUUUAGGACAGAUUACUUCGGUUUGAAGUUCUUUAUGACUGAGUGGCGGACGGGUGAGUAACGCGUGGGUAACCUGCCUUGUACUGGGGGAUAGCAGCUGGAGACGGCUGGUAAUACCGCAUAAGCGCACAAUGUUGCAUGACAUGGUGUGAAAAACUCCGGUGGUAUAAGAUGGACCCGCGUCUGAUUAGCUAGUUGGUGAGAUAACAGCCCACCAAGGCGACGAUCAGUAGCCGACCUGAGAGGGUGACCGGCCACAUUGGGACUGAGACACGGCCCAGACUCCUACGGGAGGGAGCAGUGGGGAAUAUUGCACAAUAGAGGAAACUCUGAUGCAGCGACGCCGCGUGAGUGAAGAAGUAAUUCGGUAUGUAAAGCUCUAGCAGCAGGGAAGAUAGUGACGGUACCUGACUAAGAAGCUCCGGCUAAAUACGUG
This 481-nucleotide ribosomal RNA is filed under the name uncultured bacterium. RNAcentral's name for it is "partial 16S ribosomal RNA". It matches the Rfam family "Bacterial small subunit ribosomal RNA", at positions 28 to 507 of the family's 1533-position model. The record is from RNAcentral.